This 253-nucleotide ribosomal RNA is filed under the name uncultured bacterium. RNAcentral's name for it is "partial 16S ribosomal RNA". It matches the Rfam family "Bacterial small subunit ribosomal RNA", at positions 524 to 776 of the family's 1533-position model. The record is from RNAcentral.
CACGUAGGGCGCAAGCGUUGUCCGGAAUUAUUGGGCGUAAAGAGCUCGUAGGCGGUCUGUUGCGUCCGCUGUGAAAAUUCGGGGCUUAACCCCGAGCCUGCAGUGGAUACGGGCAGACUAGAGGUAGGUAGGGGAGAAUGGAAUUCCCGGUGUAGCGGUGAAAUGCGCAGAUAUCGGGAGGAACACCGGUGGCGAAGGCGGUUCUCUGGGCCUUACCUGACGCUGAGGAGCGAAAGCGUGGGGAGCGAACAGG